AACAGGAUUAGAUACCCUGGUAGUCCACGCCGUAAACGAUGUCGACUUGGAGGUUGUGCCCUUGAGGCGUGGCUUCCGGAGCUAACGCGUUAAGUCGACCGCCUGGGGAGUACGGCCGCAAGGUUAAAACUCAAAUGAAUUGACGGGGGCCCGCACAAGCGGUGGAGCAUGUGGUUUAAUUCGAUGCAACGCAAAGAACCUUACCUACUCUUGACUUCCAGAGAACUUAGCAGAGAUGCUUUGGUGCCUUCGGGAACUCUGAGACAGGUGCUGCGUGGCUGUCGUCAGCUCGUGCUGUGAAAUGUUGGGUUAAGUCCCGCAACGAGCGCAACCCUUAUCCUUUGUUGCCAGCGGUUCGGCCGGGAACUCAAAGGAGACUGCCAGUGAUAAACUGGAGGAAGGUGGGGAUGACGUCAAGUCAUCAUGGCCCUUACGAGUAGGGCUACACACGUGCUACAAUGGCAUAUACAAAGAGAAGCGACCUCGCGAGAGCAAGCGGACCUCAUAAAGUAUGUCGUAGUCCGGAUUGGAGUCUGCAACUCGACUCCAUGAAGUCGGAAUCGCUAGUAAUCGUGGAUCAGAAUGCCACGGUGAAUACGUUCCCGGGCCUUGUACACACCGCCCGUCACACCAUGGGAGUGGGUUGCAAAAGAAGUAGGUAGCUUAACCUUCGGGAGGGCGCUUACCACUUUGUGAUUCAUGACUGGGGUGAAGUCGUAACAAGGUAACC
This 730-nucleotide ribosomal RNA is filed under the name uncultured bacterium. RNAcentral describes it as "bacterial SSU rRNA". It matches the Rfam family "Bacterial small subunit ribosomal RNA", at positions 771 to 1501 of the family's 1533-position model. The record is from RNAcentral.